RNAcentral lists this ribosomal RNA (821 nucleotides) under uncultured eukaryote. RNAcentral's name for it is "SSU rRNA". It matches the Rfam family "Eukaryotic small subunit ribosomal RNA", at positions 629 to 1426 of the family's 1831-position model. The record is from RNAcentral.
CGGUGUUUAACUGGCGUGAUGUGGGACGUCCUACCGGUGGGCUUAGCCUCGCGAGGGGCGGCCCAACUAAUAUCCCGUCGCGGUGCUCUUUACUGAGUGUCGAGUCGGGCCGGUACGUUUACUUUGAACAAAUUAGAGUGCUUAAAGCAGGCUAUCCUCGCCUGAAUACUGCGUGCAUGGAAUAAUGGAAUAGGACCUCGGUUCUAUUUUGUUGGUUUUCGGAACCCCGAGGUAAUGAUUAAUAGGGACAGAUGGGGGCAUUCGUAUUGCGACGUUAGAGGUGAAAUUCUUGGAUCGUCGCAAGACGGACAGAAGCGAAAGCAUUUGCCAAAAAUGUUUUCAUUAAUCAAGAACGAAAGUUAGAGGUUCGAAGGCGAUCAGAUACCGCCCUAGUUCUAACCAUAAACGAUGCCAGCUAGCGAUCCGCCGAAGUUCCUCCGAUGACUCGGCGGGGCAGCUUCCGGGAAACCAAAGCUUUUGGGUUCCGGGGGAAGUAUGGUUGCAAAGCUGAAACUUAAAGGAAUUGACGGAAGGGCACCACCAGGAGUGGAGCCCUGCGGCUUAAUUUGACUCAACACGGGAAACCUCACCAGGCCCAGACACCGGAAGGAUUGACAGAUUGAUAGCUCUUUCUUGAUUCGGUGGGUGGUGGUGCAUGGCCGUUCUUAGUUGGUGGAGCGAUUUGUCUGGUUAAUUCCGAUAACGAACGAGACUCUAGCCUGCUAAAUAGGCGUACCUUAUGGUAUCGCGAAGGCCCCCGGCUUCGGCCGGUGGGUUUUUACUACCAACGUACAAACAAAUCUUCUUAGAGGGACAGGCGG